AGAGUUUGCUCCUGGCUCAGGACGAACGCUGGCGGCGUGGAUUAGGCAUGCAAGUCGAACGGUAUGGUGCUUUCGGGCAUCAGAGAGUGGCGAACGGGUGAGUAACACGUAGGUUAUCUACCCUCAAGACGGGGACAACCCAGGGAAACUUGGGCUAAUACCGGAUGAAAGCAACCGUGAGGUUGUUUAAAAGAUGGCUUUAAGCUGUCGCUUGGGGAUGAGCCUGCGUCCUAUUAGUUAGUUGGUGAGGUAACGGCUCCCCAAGGCAAUGAUAGGUAGGCGGCCUUAACGGGUGGUCGCCCACACUGGGAUUGAGAAACGGCCCAGACUCCUACGGGAGGCAGCAGUCGAGAAUAGUCUACAAUGGCCGAAAGGCUGAUAGUGCGACGCCGCGUGAACGAGGAAUCCCUUCGGGGUGUAAAGUUCUUUUAUAUGUGAGCAGUGCCGGCUAUAUUAAUAGUAUAGUUGGAGAGAUAUUAGCAUAUGAAUAAGCAACGGCUAACUCCGUGCCAGCAGCCGCGGUAACACGGGGGUUGCAAGCGUUGUCCGGAAUUACUAGGCGUAAAGGGCAGGCAGGCGGACCUGCAAGUUUUCUGUUAAAGACGUCAGCUCAACUGGCGCACGGCAGGAGAUACUGCAGGUCUUGAAUGCGGUUGGGGAAGACAGAAUUCCUGGUGUAGCGGUGGAAUGCGCAGAGAUCAGGAGGAAUACCAAAGGCGAAGGCAGUCUUCCAAGCCGUUAUUGACGCUGAACUGCGAAGGUGUGGGUAUCAAACAAAAUUAGAUACCCUGGUAGUCCACACAGUA
RNAcentral lists this ribosomal RNA (806 nucleotides) under uncultured bacterium. Its description in RNAcentral is "bacterial SSU rRNA". It matches the Rfam family "Bacterial small subunit ribosomal RNA", at positions 8 to 804 of the family's 1533-position model. The record is from RNAcentral.